AUCCAGCUGACGAGUCCCAAAUAGGACAAAACACACAUCCCGGAU
This 45-nucleotide non-coding RNA is filed under the name Trichobilharzia regenti. The record is from RNAcentral. Lineage: Eukaryota; Metazoa; Platyhelminthes; Trematoda; Strigeidida; Schistosomatidae.